RNAcentral lists this long non-coding RNA (278 nucleotides) under Hordeum vulgare. RNAcentral's name for it is "long non-coding RNA (HVUL_LNC010751)". Lineage: Eukaryota; Viridiplantae; Streptophyta; Magnoliopsida; Poales; Poaceae. The record is from RNAcentral.
UCAUAUUGCUUGAGUUUACUUUGUCUACAUCAUGUCAUUGCAGUCGAUGAGUGGAGUAAUAGUAAUAGGUGCAGGCAGGAGUCGGCCUAUUUUUUUAUGGACAUGAUGCCUAUAUACACAUUAUCAUUGUCGUGAAUAUCACAUAACUAUCCGCUUUUCUGUCAAUUGCCCAAAAGUAAUUUGUGUACCCACCGUAUGCUAUUUUUCAUGAGAGAUGCCAUUAGGGAAAGCUAUGGCCCCCGGGUCUAUUCACAACAUAUUGAUAAAAACUUCAAUAC